Molecule: long non-coding RNA, 621 nt
Organism: Cloeon dipterum
Lineage: Eukaryota; Metazoa; Arthropoda; Insecta; Ephemeroptera; Baetidae
Exons: 2
Source: RefSeq, a predicted model, not a curated record
UACAUCACACAUCGUCGUGUUCAGCUUGAAGACCAAGCAAUCGUGGACAGUAGACACGCCUGGAAUUCGGAGCUUCUCGAUUGCCAUUUCCCCUGCUCGUCAGGAGGAACCGAGACAGCUCUAUUUAAGCGAAUUCUACCCUCCUAGGUUGUAUUCCAUAUCUGCAGCCGCGCUAGGAAACGGAUCUCGAACUGCCUAUCCUAAAAAUAUUGGAACUUGGUCUAAAAAACCAUAUAGAACGUUGGUCGACAGCAACGGGACCAUGUAUGCCGCCUUUUUGGACGUGGGCUUCAUGUCCACUUGGAAUACUUCCCAGCCAUUUCACGAGCAGCGUUUCUAUGAGAUUAAAAAUGUGCAAAGAUUGAGGCCGGUUACUUUCGCCGUGGACUCGUCCAAUAAUGCAUUCUGGAUGAUGGAAAUUUGGAAAGAAUCAUGGAGAACUUGGAGGCGCAGACUUCUCAAAGCUCCAGGUUCUAACUAAGAAAAGAAAACACAAAUAAAUUUAAUUUAAUUUUCAAACUGUAUAGAAAAUGGGUAGAAUAUCACUGUCUGUUUAAAAUUAUAAAUCAUUGAAAGAGGUUAUAAAUAAAAAUAUUAUGUAAUACAUAUAAUUUGAAGGAA